UGAGGAAUAUUGGACAAUGGGCGCAAGCCUGAUCCAGCCAUGCCGCGUGCAGGAUGACGGUCCUAUGGAUUGUAAACUGCUUUUGUACAGGAAGAAACAGUUCUACGUGUAGAACCUUGACGGUACUGUAAGAAUAAGGAUCGGCUAACUCCGUGCCAGCAGCCGCGGUAAUACGGAGGAUCCAAGCGUUAUCCGGAAUCAUUGGGUUUAAAGGUCCGUAGGCGGUUAGAUAAGUCAGUGGUGAAAGCCCAUCGCUCAACGGUGGAACGGCCAUUGAUACUGAUGUUCUUGAGUACAGAUGGGGUAGGCGGAAUGUAUCAUGUAGCGGUGAAAUGCUUAGAUAUGAUACAGAACACCAAUCGCGAAGGCAGCUUACCAAACUGUUACUGACACUGAGGCACGAAAGCAUGGGUAGCGAACAGGAUUAGAUACCCACGUAGUCCCUGAGCGGGCUGGCAAGGCGCAU
This 466-nucleotide ribosomal RNA is filed under the name uncultured bacterium. RNAcentral describes it as "bacterial SSU rRNA". It matches the Rfam family "Bacterial small subunit ribosomal RNA", at positions 355 to 825 of the family's 1533-position model. The record is from RNAcentral.